Molecule: ribosomal RNA, 371 nt
Filed under: uncultured bacterium
Lineage: Bacteria
Description: bacterial SSU rRNA
Rfam family: Bacterial small subunit ribosomal RNA
Source: RNAcentral
AGGGGGGGCAAGCGUUGUUCGGAAUUACUGGGCGUAAAGGGUUCGUAGGUGGCCAACUAAGUCAGACGUGAAAUCCCUCAGCUUAACUGGGGAACUGCGUCUGAUACUGGUUGGCUUGAGUGCAGGAGAGGAACGCGGAAUUCCAGGUGUAGCGGUGAAAUGCGUAGAUAUCUGGAGGAACACCGGUGGCGAAGGCGGCGUUCUGGACUGCAACUGACACUGAGGAACGAAAGCCAGGGGAGCAAACGGGAUUAGAUACCCCGGUAGUCCUGGCCCUAAACGAUGAAUGCUUAGUGUGGCGGGUAUCGAUCCCUGCCGUGCCGAAGUUAACGCGAUAAGCAUUCCGCCUGGGGAGUACGGUCGCAAGGCUG